AAAAGCAUAUUGCCGAAGACAGCAGGUGCCGAAAGGCGUAAUCGCAGAGCCUGCCGAGGGAAUUUAUUGAUGUAAUAUCACAAUGAAUUUUAGACCUCUCUGUCAUUUGGCGGAGAGGUUUUUUG
This 125-nucleotide small RNA is filed under the name human gut metagenome. Its description in RNAcentral is "Ribosomal protein L10 leader". It matches the Rfam family "Ribosomal protein L10 leader", at positions 7 to 130 of the family's 138-position model. Rfam says of the family: This family is a putative r-protein leader autoregulatory structure found in B. subtilis and other low-GC Gram-positive bacteria. It is located in the 5' untranslated regions of mRNAs encoding ribosomal proteins L10 and L12 (rplJ-rplL). The record is from RNAcentral. RNAcentral also lists the same sequence under 1 other name.